Molecule: non-coding RNA, 71 nt
Organism: Phrynosoma platyrhinos (Desert horned lizard)
Lineage: Eukaryota; Metazoa; Chordata; Lepidosauria; Squamata; Phrynosomatidae
Source: the annotation of a GenBank genome assembly
GCUAGUGUGGCAUAAUGGUUUGAGUGUUAAACUAUGACUCUAUAGGCCAGCGUUCGAAUUCCAGCUCAGCC